Molecule: long non-coding RNA, 1995 nt
Organism: Phymastichus coffea
Lineage: Eukaryota; Metazoa; Arthropoda; Insecta; Hymenoptera; Eulophidae
Exons: 4
Source: RefSeq, a predicted model, not a curated record
UUCAUUAUACUGUAAUACCGUAAACCGUAAUUAUAAUUAAUUAUUUAUACUUUUUGCCUUAUCAAAUUGCAAAAUACAUAAUAGGUAGACCAAUAGAAUUUAUAUGAACAAAUACUAUUUGAUUUCGGGGAAGGUAUAUUGCAAGGUGUAGUCAAGUUUGCUGAUUUUACAAUUGAAAAUAAUUUUAGAAAUACAGGCUAGAAUGCAAAAGGCUGUAGAUAAUACAAAGCCUUCCUUAAGAAUACAAAGAUUUUAUAGGGAAAAACAAGUGUGCGUUGAAAAAAAUCAUUUAUAAAGACGAAAGAUUUACAAAUUAUAACAUGAUACAUCAGGAAAAUUACUUCCGAAUAAAUUGACUAUACAUAAUUUGACUGAUGAUUGGCUAAAAGCUAUUCAGGUGAUUAGGAAAACUACCCACUUAAAUGCAGAAAACAAUUGUGAUAUAAAUAAAUCAAUGUCGGAUUGUUUUCAAGAAAGAGAAGAACUUUGAUUGCGUUAUCAAGUAGCUGUAAUUAGAAAUGCUAUAAACGAACUUGGAUGUAAAAAAUUACCUUCUGGAUAUGACCUUUCAAUGGAGGAUUCAUUUACUGAGCCAACAAAAACAAAAUCAAAAUUUACAAGAGGACAACACAUUUCUAACAUUUCUAAUAGUUUCUUUGGCUUCAACCCAUAAACUUCUGUCUGAUAAACAAGCAUAAUGCCAUUGCUGAAUCAAAUCGUCUAAAGUAAUAAGAAUAGACAUCUGUGAAAAUAACAAAUUUCUUAACGAUGCCCUUAGUGACCUCAGAGGAGCGUUGAUUAUGUUUAACUGAGCUGGCCACAUACUGCGAUAUAAAUCACAUCGCGAUAAACUCCAUCGAUUUGUAAAUGUAUUGUUGGUUAUUGGGUUGUCGUCUUCUAUUGUUCCAAGAAAUCUGCACUUGUAACCUCCAAUCACUGUCUUUUGUUGAAUGAUUUUCUGCAACACUUCUUUAUGGCUAAUCUCAUUAUCCAAUGUAAUUAUACCUUCGCUUUCAUUGGAAAACCAAAAAAUGAAUCUCGAAUAAUUAUUAUUGCCCAUAUGAAUUUCAAUAUUUCUAAACGCCACUGGUACAAAACGACGAAAAUCGUUUUGUAUAAUAUAUUCAAUCGUGAAUUUCAUCUUCUCGUUCAAUCUUUCUUCAUGGAAUGGUUUGGAUUCCAUUAUAUUUUUUAUUACUACCGUAUUAUUCAUUAUUAUAAUAACUUUGAUCACCAGUUGAAAAUUUAUUCUUACAGCGACUGUAACUGUAGAAUUGUAGGAAAUGUAGACGCAAAGAAUACUAACGACAUGCUUGAACAAAGAAAAACAGAAAUGUAUAUGUACCAAUCUUGGCCACAUAUGGGGCGAAAACUGACACGUAUAUAACGUAAGCGGUAAAAUAGUGGAUACGUGUUAUAUUUUCUAAUUUUUAUUGAUCAGUUUUUAUUUUAAAAAGUGAAUAACAAUUUUUUUAUUGUAAAACUUAUUUCAAUUUCGAAAUAAAAGAAAUUAUUUCUCUAGUACAUUUGUAUUUUGAUGAUUCAGAAAUAUUAUUAAAUCCUAUUUUGAUUAAAUUCAUGAAUCUUCUAAUUUCUUGAUUCUCAUUACUCGUGUUCUUAUCAAGAUUUGCAAGAUCAUUUACCAAUUUUUUCAUGGACUUCGUAGCUGUAUCAAUGGCAUCGUCUAAUGUUUCAAUGUCAUCAUCUGAUUUUCUUUUCCGACUAAAUUUCCUCUUGUCGAAUUUGUUUUCACCACUACUUGAUGAUAAUUUCAUCAAGGAGUCCAUGUUAUCAGAACAAAUUUGAGGCAUAUGGCUUAAAUACGGUUGUAACCAAAGCAUUUCCUUGUACAAUUCCCACGUAACUUCCACUUUCAUAUAAACAGGCAGCAGAACUGAAGCAAUAAUGUAACAUGUUUCACGAAUAAUUUUGUAAAAAGUAGAUUUUCCAACCCUAUAAUGUAUAGAGUGAAGAUGAGCGUUUCCUCCUUGUCCU